RNAcentral lists this ribosomal RNA (503 nucleotides) under uncultured bacterium. RNAcentral describes it as "bacterial SSU rRNA". It matches the Rfam family "Bacterial small subunit ribosomal RNA", at positions 21 to 507 of the family's 1533-position model. The record is from RNAcentral.
GGCUCAGGAUGAACGCUGGCGGCGUGCCUAAUACAUGCAAGUCGAGCGGACCAAAGGGAGCUUGCUCCUGGAGGUUAGCGGCGAACGGGUGAGUAACACGUGGGCAACCUGCCUGUAAGACUGGGAUAACAUCGAGAAAUCGGUGCUAAUACCGGAUAAUAAAAAGAACUGCAUGGUUCUUUUUUGAAAGAUGGUUUCGGCUAUCACUUACAGAUGGGCCCGCGGCGCAUUAGCUAGUUGGUGAGGUAACGGCUCACCAAGGCAACGAUGCGUAGCCGACCUGAGAGGGUGAUCGGCCACACUGGGACUGAGACACGGCCCAGACUCCUACGGGAGGCAGCAGUAGGGAAUCUUCCGCAAUGGACGAAAGUCUGACGGAGCAACGCCGCGUGAGUGAUGAAGGUUUUCGGAUCGUAAAACUCUGUUGUUAGGGAAGAACAAGUGCCGUUCGAAAGGGCGGCACCUUGACGGUACCUAACGAGAAAGCCACGGCUAACUACGUG